AGUGAACGCUGGCGGUAGGCCUAACACAUGCAAGUCGAACGGCAGCACAGUAAGAGCUUGCUCUUACGGGUGGCGAGUGGCGGACGGGUGAGGAAUACAUCGGAAUCUACUUUUUCGUGGGGGAUAACGUAGGGAAACUUACGCUAAUACCGCAUACGACCUACGGGUGAAAGCAGGGGAUCUUCGGACCUUGCGCGAUUGAAUGAGCCUAUGUCGGAUUAGCUAGUUGGCGGGGUAAGGCCCACCAAGGCGACGAUCCGUAGCUGGUCUGAGAGGAUGAUCAGCCACACUGGAACUGAGACACGGUCCAGACUCCUACGGGAGGCAGCAGUGGGGAAUAUUGGACAAAGGGCGCAAGCCUGAUCCAGCCAUACCGCGUGGGUGAAGAAGGCCUUCGGGUUGUAAAGCCCUUUUGUUGGGAAAGAAAAGCAGCAGGUUAAUACCCCGCUGUUCUGACGGUACCCAAAGAAUAAGCACCGGCUAACUUCGUG
Molecule: ribosomal RNA, 491 nt
Filed under: uncultured bacterium
Lineage: Bacteria
Description: partial 16S ribosomal RNA
Rfam family: Bacterial small subunit ribosomal RNA
Source: RNAcentral